Molecule: non-coding RNA, 21 nt
Organism: Caenorhabditis elegans
Lineage: Eukaryota; Metazoa; Nematoda; Chromadorea; Rhabditida; Rhabditidae
Source: Ensembl
UUUCAAUCCUAACGAAAAUGC